Molecule: long non-coding RNA, 4035 nt
Organism: Homo sapiens (human)
Lineage: Eukaryota; Metazoa; Chordata; Mammalia; Primates; Hominidae
Exons: 3
Source: RefSeq, a predicted model, not a curated record
GUACUGUACAGGUUUGUAGCCUAGGAGCAACAGGCUAUGCCGUAUAGCCUAGGUGUGUGGUAGGCAACGCCAUCUACGUGUGUAGUAGGCCAGAGCAUUUAGGUGUGUAGUAGGCAACAGCAUCUAAGUGUAUAGUAGGCUAGACCAUCUAGGUGUGUAGUAGGCAACACCAUCUAAGUGUGUAGUAGGCUAGACCAUCUAGGUGUGUAGUAGGCUAGACUAUCUAGGUGUGUAGUAGGCUAGACCAUCUAAGGGUGUAGCAGGCUAGACCAUCUAGGUGUGUAGUAGGCUAGGCUAUCUAGGUGUGUAGUAGGCUAGACCAUCUAAGGGUGUAGUAGCCUAGACCAUCUAGGUGUGUAGUAGGUUAGGCUAUCCAGAUGUGUAGUAGGCUAGACCAUCUAAGUGUGUAGUAGGCUAGACCAUCUAGGUGUGUAGUAGGCUAGACCAUCUAGGUGUGUAGUAGGCAACGCCAUUAAGAGUUUAGUAGGCUAGACCAUCUAGGUGUGUAGUAGGCUAGACCAUCUAAGUGUGUAGUAGGCUAGACCAUCUAGGUGUGUAGUAGGCAACGCCAUUAAGAGUUUAGUAGGCUAGACCAUCUAGGUGUGUAGUAGGCUAGACCAUCUAAGUGUGUAGUAGGCUAGACCAUCUAGGUGUGUAGUAGGCUAGACCAUCUAGGUGUGUAGUAGGCAACGCCAUUAAGAGUUUAGUAGGCUAGACCAUCUAGGUGUGUAGUAGGCUAGACCAUCUAAGUGUGUAGUAGGCUAGACCAUCUAAGUGUGUAGUAGGCUAGACCAUCUAGGUGUGUAGUAGGCUAGACCAUCUAGGUGUGUCGUAGGUGUGUAGUAGGCGACACCAUCUAGGCAUGUGUAACUCACUCUGUGAUGCUCGUACAAUGAUGAAAUCGCCUAACGACACAUUUCUCAGAAUGUAUCCCCGUUGUUGAUUGGUGCAUGACAGUAUAAGAUAUUAUUGUUUAAACAUGUAAUCAGUACAAAAUGUAUUCAUGAGCUGUUUUAAUCUCUUGUACUGAUUCUUUGAUAUCUGGUCUUUGAUAUCUCAUGUGUAUUUAACAGCACAUUUCAGUUUGGACCAGCCACAUUUCAAGUGCUCAGUAGCCACGUGUGCCUGGUGGCUGCCAUACUGGAGGCAUGGCUGUAUAUACACAUAGGCAGUGCUACGCCUCCCUCCACAAGCAGGGCUAAUGUCACACCCCAGAGCUUCACUAAUUACUCAUCCAGCUCACACUCUAUUUGGUGUGUAUUAGUGUUAUUAGAUCAAGAGCUUUAUUUCAUGCACCAUGAUGUAUAUUAACAAAUCGUAACUCAUGAAUUCACAAACCUGAAAUCAGAGGCCCAUGCAAACACAGGAAUUAGGCUUUUGUUCCUGAAGCAAUUUGUGUUCACUUCUUUCCGUGUACUUACCAAGCCUGGCAUUAGUUGUGUGAAUUUCCAUCUCCCCCAGGCCGCCCCCACUCUAAGCUUCUUGGAGGGAAAGUAUGUGUCUCUGGCUUCCUCUAUCCCAUUGGCAACCCCUCCCUGCACCCCAAGUGUCUGGCUUUCAGCAGGCCUUAGCAGGUAUUCAAUAGGUAUUUUUUGAAUAGACUCCAUUAACCAAAGGCAUCGGCUCCUCUUAGAAAGGAAGCAUAUUAUAAAGAAAAGGCUCUAAAGUCAGAUUAUGUAAAAAUGUGUUGAAAGGCACAGGGACAUCAAACGUAACCACUGAAUUGAAGUUUUUAUUCGAGUAGACAUGAAUCUGGCGGACAUGAGUACAGGGUUCCUGUGGAUGGGUGUGUGUUUGGGAGAAGAGGCAGGAACAGAAGUGUCUGGAAGUCUGUCACAAGCAUUUGAACAUAUGAUGAAAUAAGUCCUGCUCACCCCUCUGUGACAUGCUCCAGUCGGCUCCAAGGCCUCGUAGAAAGAUGGGGGGAUCCCUUGUUCCCAUCACUGCUCACUUCCUGGAUCAAUCAGACUGCACCACCCCUCCUGUGGACUUUGGUUACUGGGAGCCACAGGGCCUGAGGCAGCCACUUUAGAGAGCCGGUCUUGACCACCUAAUGGUGAGUGUGCGGCCAGGCCAGUCACAGGUGCUGUCUCAACUUGGGAUGUGUGUGUAACUCUGGGAGGAGUAGGGAUGGAUGGUCCACUUCUGGAAGUUCCCAGGGCCCCAACACCCAGGUUUUGCAGCCGUCUGCUAGUCUGCACUGUCUUUAAGAGGGAUCAGUUCUAGAUUCUCUUCCCCAUCCCAUCUGUGACUUGGCCCUCUUGGGCCUCCCUGGGGGUCAAUAGAGGAAAUACCUUCAACAGAUGGUGGAAAUGUGGGAGCAAGGUUGCCUCAAAAUAGUCAGGGUGAUUCGGCCUCAUGGGCAUAGUUCUGACAGUGCCAGCAUGGGACAGAUGAAGUCUGGGAGAGGCCAAGCCCUGAGGAUAGUCAGACACUUGGUAGGUUGUGAUAUUUGAGUUUAUUAAUAAGAAAGUAAUGGCUACCACUGACUGAAUGCUUAUUAGGUGCCAGACAAUUGACUAGGCAUUUUACCUGGAUUACUUUAUUUAAAUCUUAGAGCAUCCCUACAUCAUGGGUUCUGUCAUAGCUCCAUUUCACUAAUAAGGAGACAGAUGUGGAGGUUGGGGAGUUGGUCCCAGGUCACCCAACUGGGGAGGGCAGAGGUUGGGGAGGGACAGGAGUCAAUAACCCAAAGUCAUGAAAUGAGAAAGGAAGUAAACACUUGGAUGGAGAAUCACACACACACACACACACACACACACACACACACCUCCUAACAGGUAUGUUGUCUGCAACAAGGCAAAAAUAAUUCAUUAAUAUCUCAUUUAAACUUGAGGGCGAGGGAAUUCCUGAACCACCUCUCUGGAGCAAAUAAUGGAAAUUGGAAAUUGAUUGUCAUUUACCUUUGAGGAAGACUUCGGGAUGUGCCAUGUCUUUGGUAUAGGGCUGCGUGGUGUUGUGACGCAUGUGAAGAAAUACAUCCAAGGACCUUCCUAAGCUCAUCUGCAGCCACAAUUCCCCCACCCUAUUCUUCUCGUAGGGUUUUAAGUUUGCUGUCUGCAAAUGUUCCUCAUUCCGGAGUCUUUGGGAACCAAUCCACCUAGCUGGAGAAGGACAUCGUACCCUGGUAAUGAAGACAGGCAUAGAGAGGCACAGGGUUCAGGAGGGGACAGUCAGCACCGCAGGUGGCUCCGCAGCAGCUGACUCAGUGAUUGAGACGAGUUCCUGUCUCUGGUUUUGUUCGGCACAUCAGAGUCUGCGACUGAGCCUUUGGUCUGGAGUUUGAGCAAACUGGAGCUGAAAUUGCCUCGACAGAUACCUUGGAGCACUGACACCGCAGCACCAGCCCUGCUGUGGCCAGGAAGGGAGGGAGGGGACUGCCUUUCCUGUGUGUCUGUGGGUCACGGCCUUGAGUUAGAGCCCCGGGCCUCCUGCCCUGGGACGUGGAGGACCUUACACAGGUGCCUGAGGAACUAAAUGUUGAUCAAUGAAAUAUUUAUAACAAAUAAAAAAGUGGAAAAUAUUUCUCUGCUUUUGUAGUCUGAAUGGUAUAGUUGAAAAGACCCAGCUUUAAAAAUAAAAAGCUUGGGUCUUGGUUCUACCACUUACUAAUUGCAGGGCCUUGCGCAAGAUAACCUCUCUGGGCCUCAGUGUUUGCAUCUGUAAAAGGGGAAUAAUGUCACCCUUCUGUGGGUCGUAGGGAUGGAAAAAGAUGACACUGGAGGAAGCGCAUGCAUUCUCCUCUGCUCCUGCCGCCCGCUUCACCCAUUGGCUGGUGACUGAGUUUGGGAUUUUGACACUUAGUCUUUGUCCCAUUCAUGUGUCUAAGACCUAAUUUCUGGUGUUUGUAUAAGGUCAUUUUGUGGUCUCCCACUUGGAGUGGGCCCUCUGCCUUGGACCCAGGGGGACUGCUUGGACAUGUUUGAACAGCAAGAGAGUUUUGAGUCGCUGCAGGUAGAGCAUAAGUACCUGUGUCCACAUGUAAAUUUGCUCUCCCCUAGCAAUGGCCAUGAUCACCCAGGUGGAACAAUGGGG